Molecule: ribosomal RNA, 467 nt
Filed under: uncultured bacterium
Lineage: Bacteria
Description: partial 16S ribosomal RNA
Rfam family: Bacterial small subunit ribosomal RNA
Source: RNAcentral
GACGAACGCUGGCGGCGUGCUUAACACAUGCAAGUCGAACGGAAAGGCCUCUUUCGGGGGGUACUCGAGUGGCGAACGGGUGAGUAACACGUGAGUAACCUGCCCUUGACUUUGGGAUAACUUCAGGAAACUGGGGCUAAUACCGGAUAGGAGCUCCUGCUGCAUGGUGGGGGUUGGAAAGUUUCGGCGGUUGGGGAUGGACUCGCGGCUUAUCAGCUUGUUGGUGGGGUAGAGGCUUACCAAGGCUUUGACGGGUAGCCGGCCUGAGAGGGUGACCGGCCACAUUGGGACUGAGAUACGGCCCAGACUCCUACGGGAGGCAGCAGUGGGGAAUAUUGCACAAUGGGUGGAAGCCUGAUGCAGCAACGCCGUGUGCGGGAUGACGGCCUUCGGGUUGUAAACCGCUUUCGCUCAUGACGAAGCUUUGUGUGACGGUAGUGGGUAAAGAAGCACCGGCUAACUACGUG